AAGUCGUAACAAGGUUUCCGUAGGUGAACCUGCGGAAGGAUCAUUAUCGAGUUUUGAACGGGUUGUAGCUGGCCUUUAACGAGGCAUGUGCACACCUGGCUCAUCCACUCUCAACCUCUGUGCACUUUAUGUAAGAAACGGUGUAAGCCAGCUAUUUAACAGUUGGUAACAAGCCUUUCUUAUGUUUACUACAAACGCUUCAGUUAUAGAAUGUUUACUGUGUAUAACACAAUUAUAUACAACUUUCAGCAACGGAUCUCUUGGCUCUC
This 269-nucleotide unclassified non-coding RNA is filed under the name Irpex laceratus. Its description in RNAcentral is "Emmia lacerata partial internal transcribed spacer region". The stretch from base 1 to 46 matches the Rfam family "Eukaryotic small subunit ribosomal RNA", at positions 1786 to 1831 of the family's 1831-position model. Lineage: Eukaryota; Fungi; Basidiomycota; Agaricomycetes; Polyporales; Irpicaceae. The record is from RNAcentral.